GCCGGUGUGGCGGAACAGGUAGACGCUACGGACUUAAAAUUCGUUGCCCUUCGGGGCGUGCCGGUUCGAUCCCGGCCACCGGCACCA
RNAcentral lists this transfer RNA (87 nucleotides) under Kistimonas sp. RNAcentral describes it as "tRNA-Leu". It matches the Rfam family "tRNA". From Rfam's summary of the family: Transfer RNA (tRNA) molecules are approximately 80 nucleotides in length. Their secondary structure includes four short double-helical elements and three loops (D, anti-codon, and T loops). Lineage: Bacteria; Pseudomonadati; Pseudomonadota; Gammaproteobacteria; Oceanospirillales; Endozoicomonadaceae. The record is from RNAcentral.